This is a long non-coding RNA of Rosa rugosa (rugosa rose), 2067 nucleotides long. RefSeq lists it as uncharacterized. The transcript has 7 exons. The record is from RefSeq and is a predicted model, not a curated record. NCBI's taxonomy places the organism in Eukaryota, Viridiplantae, Streptophyta, Magnoliopsida, Rosales, Rosaceae.
CUGAGCCUCAUCCUGGAGGGGAGUGAGUGAAAAUGGCAGAGCGUUACCAUAUUGAUCAAAGAAACAGUGAUCACAAAAUCUAUAAUCUAUUGCUUGUCCAUCUCCAGCUUUGAAACUCGGUGAGCAUCCUUGGGGAGAGAAAAGUGCUGGCAAAACAAGACUAUUUACACCAUGAGUUUUUUAUGGGGUGCAGUGAAUACUGCCCACAAGGGCCCCCACAAGGGCUCAGACAGUAAAAGCCCAAACUAAAAUUGGAAAACAACUACCCAGCUUAGUAGUCUCUGCACAGUUUCUUCGGCCACAACUGGAAUUUCUUCUUUUUCUUCAUCUGGGUGGCGGUAAAUAAUGGCUUUUGAUUGGCGGAUUAGAGGCUUGAGAAGGGGAUAAUAUAUACAUGUUUGGUAAGUAUAGGAUUGGGAAUUUGGUGACUCAAGUUCUCAUUGAUAAUCUCUGAUUCUGUUCCUGAAACUCUAAUCGUUGCUUCCGCUGAAAAAGGCAAGGGAAUUGACUUCCCAGUGACUCCACUCUGCAAACUCCGAAUUAACGUUCUCAAUUCUAACUCAAGAGUCAAGAAAUUGGAAUAUGCUUGGAAUUUGAGUGGAAUAACUAUCACUUGGUCUUCGGAGGAGUUUGUAUUGUUUGAGGAACAGCUCGCAGCGCUAUUCGUUACUUCUGGGCAGGUUGUUGAUUACCGAAUUCUGCACUCCGUUUUGCGUUUAUCCAGUUCACUCAUGAAGAAGGUGCAAGGGCUGCUUUGAGUCUUGCCAGGGCAAUGCUUGGAUUCUACACUGUGAAGGUGUUGCCUUCUAAGACAGCUAUUGCACUUGUUAACCCAUCAUUCUUGCCUCUGAUGAAGAUGAACAUGAGAUGUGUGCAAGAACCAGAUACUGUAUAAAUAUGGACAAGAAGGCACUUUAUUGGAACAAUUUGUCAUUUGUUGGCACCUAGGUUUUUAUGUGACUGUUAUUUGGCUAGAAUCAGUUUGUGGAGAGGUUUAUCGUCUGAGGCUGCUGGGAGACUAUCACCCCUUUUAUUGAAGAUGUCCAAAAUAACUAUAUUUGUUUUGUUAAUCUAUUGUAUCUGAUGAACUCUGGCUUGGCCCUUCACACCUGCUAUCAGAGGUGUUUGGUAAAAUUCGUCUCAAUACUUCUCAUGGGCUCCUCCUCCUGCUAAUCCUCCUCCUACUAAUCCUCCUCCCUUCCGUAUAGAAAGGAUUAAUCGACGACGACAACAACAACGUGAUUGAUGCCUGUUUGGGAAGGCAGAGCCGAAUACAGUAUGGGUAAUUAAUUCAAUUUCUUGGUAACUGGUUGUGGUUCAAAAUUGAAUCAUGAAUUUCCCCAUUGGUUCGGUUUUGAUUUUUUGAUUUUUUGGUCUUAUUCUGCUUCCCCAGAUGUCUAAUUCUGAUCUUGAUCUGCUAAAAUAUGAUUCGGAAAGACGAGUUACAUUAAAAAAUUUGUUCAUUUACCAGAUAAACUGCAGGUCAUGUGUAGACAAGAAUUGAUGAAUUAUUAGCUUGAUCAGUUCCCACUUAUGUCGAUGUCCAGUCUUAUUCACAUAGCUAGCUAGCUAGGUCGGUAUUGAUUCCAAGUCUCCAGUUUCUGACUGAAGGUAUACUACAGACCACGAACUCACCUACCCAAAAACAAAGCAGAGAAGAAAAUUGAUAAAAGAAGAUCGAUUAUUCGAAUGGGUUCAUUUUUAAGUCAAACCUGAUGUUAAGGAUGAACUGAUAACCAUUGCAAGACUACCAAUCGAGUGCAGACAUUCCCAUCCGCAAUCAAGGCCAACAAUGCAAAUGGUUUCUCAGGUGCUAUCAUCCCCAAAUGCAUAUUGCCCUAAAUGAUCUGUGCAUUACACUUAAAUCAAUCAUUAAGAACUCAUCUGUGCAUUUCUUUCCAUGCGGCUUGUAGUAGUUAAAAUAAAUGAUCCUGUUUAUACAUAAUGUAGGGAUUUAUGUAUUUCUUUUCAACGGUAGCUUUCCAUGUAUAUUGUUUUCAGAAAGAUUAAAGUCUUGCGCUACUCUUGCAUACAAUGUCUACGUUUUGAGGGGUGUUUUUUGGCAGC